This 464-nucleotide ribosomal RNA is filed under the name uncultured bacterium. Its description in RNAcentral is "partial 16S ribosomal RNA". It matches the Rfam family "Bacterial small subunit ribosomal RNA", at positions 29 to 507 of the family's 1533-position model. The record is from RNAcentral.
ACGCACGCUGGCGGCGUGCUUAACCCCUGCCAGUCGAACGGAAAGGCCCUGCUUGCAGGGUACUCGAGUGGCGAACGGGUGAGUAACACGUGGGUGAUCUGCCCUGCACUUCGGGAUAAGCCUGGGAAACUGGGUCUAAUACCGGAUAGGAGCCAUUUUUAGUGUGAUGGUUGGAAAGUUUUUUCGGUGUAGGAUGAGCUCGCGGCCUAUCAGCUUGUUGGUGGGGUAAUGGCCUACCAAGGCGGCGACGGGUAGCCGGCCUGAGAGGGUGGACGGCCACAUUGGGACUGAGAGACGGCCCAGACUCCUACGGGAGGCAGCGGUGGGGAAGAUUGCACAAUGGGCGCAAGCCUGAUGCAGCGACGCCGCGUGGGGGAGGACGGCCUUCGGGUUGUAAACUCCUUUCGCUAGGGACGAAGCUUUUUGUGACGGUACCUAGAGAAGAAGCACCGGCUAACUACGUG